CAGAUCCAGGAGUCCUCUGUUUAUCCACAACAGGCAGCAGCUGUGCAAUCUUUCCCCACAUUGCCAUGCCACUGUGCCUUAGCUCUGACCUAGAGAGGAACCACUGCAAAGGGAGAAGAGGCUGCUUUAUACUCUACCUUUUCACCUCU
Molecule: unclassified non-coding RNA, 149 nt
Organism: Chelonoidis abingdonii (Abingdon island giant tortoise)
Lineage: Eukaryota; Metazoa; Chordata; Testudines; Testudinidae
Source: Ensembl